UUUUUGAAUGUUAAAUAGUGAUUCCCAAAUGUGUGUUCCGAUUCACCAAAUGUCUAAGGACAUGCUAUGUCUUCUUACAUACUUGAGACAGUUCAGUAAACAUACAGAUGAUCAUUAAUGUUUUAAAAUCAUCUUUUCAAAUAUAAAGUCAUCUUUGACAUAUUUCAUAAAUAUCUUUUUUUAAUGACAGUUAGCCAGAUACCUCUUUUAGAUAUCCUGCAUAUAUAUACAAUGAGGUGUAGCGAAAAAAUUUUGCAUGUCACUGCUAUAAUGCUACAUCAAGAAAUACCCAGUAAAUGCUUUUUGCCUCUUAACUCCAGUCUUGCUGAAUACUAAGGAAUUUAUAGAGUUUAAUAGUCUUUUAUAUUUUAUAGUGUUUAAGAAUGAAUGAGUUAGGAGACAUCUGCUUCUUAGAUAAUCUUUAACCAAAUAGUCUUUUCAGAUUGAAUAAAUAUUUCUCACUGUGACUAAGGACUCAUUCCUGCAUAUAGCUGAAAUAAGUUGAACUUUUCAUGUAGAUUAAUGAGCUUGUAAACCCAUUGCUCAUUUAUAUCUCUGAAAAUUUUCCCAUUCAGAUGGCUUUAGAGUGAGAUCUAUCUUUAAAAUAGGAGCAAUAGAGUAGAAAACUGCAUAUGUAGACAGAAGUAAAAAUGAGUAACAAGAAAAGAAAAAUAGAUUUAAAUUCACUGAAAGGUACUGUAAUCCAUUUUCUGAUGCUUAAAGUACUAGAAAUGCUGUCGUAAGUCCAGAGUAUAGAAUAAUACAGUAGUAAUUCAAAUAUCGUUGCUCUCACAUGUCAGUCUAUAUAAUCAAUGACUUAUCUGUGCAAUAAUUAAGUAAGAAAAUUUCACUACUUCCUCCCCAAACCAAGGCCUAUGAGAGGCUAAGGGAAUUUGGCUUGUUUGGCCUUGAAAAGGAAGGCUUUGAGGAGACCUGACAGUAGCCUGUCAAUAUCUGCAAGAAGGCUCUCAAGCACAGUUGUACCUGCUGGGAAGAAAAGAAUUAAUAGGGAAAAAGUGAAAAUAAGUGUUCAGACUGGUUGUAAGGAAAAAAAUAUUCACCUUGAGAACUGUACAGCGUUAGAACAGGCAGCCCACAGGAGUUGUACUCUCUCUGUCUUUGGAAGGUUUCAAGAGACAAGAGAGUAAAGCCCAGAUCAACUUUGUCUAAUCUCAUAUUUGAUCUUUACUAGAGGUUAGAAGACCUCAAGGUCUUUUCAGCCAGAAUUAUCCUAUGAUCCAGUAUUAAAAGUGUAUCAAAUAUUGAGAAGUGGGAGAAAAUCAGUCUCUUUGAGUUACUUGCUGUGUUCUGAUCCAAACAGCUCAUUAUGAUGUUGGCCACCUUUGAUGCCAGGGCUCCCUGCAGGCUCAUGCUCAGGUUGCUGUCUCCUAAAAUCCCCAGGGCUUUUGCAGAAGAGGUAGUGCUCAGCCUGGUCCCACCACUGUAGAGUUUUUUCCUUCCCUUGUGCAGGAUUUUGCUUCUGUUCUAGUCAAAUUUCAUGAGGUUCCCAUCACUCCACUCCUCUAGCAUGUCCAGGUCCCUCUGCAUAGUAGUCAUGCCCUUAAACAUGUCAAUUAGUUCUCCUAGUUUGUGUCUCUCCCCUCAGGUGAGCUCUCAGACUUGAAGAACAUGCAUCUGUGUGUCUAUCUGGUCACUGAUAAACAAGGACAGGUUCCAAGAUAGAUCCCUGGGCAAUUCUAGCUGCUGCUAGCACCAGAUAGAGUACAGUCUGUUAACAGCUAUGCUCUAGGUUUGACCAUCUAGCAAGUUAUUCGACCCUCUAGAUUCCACCUAUAUGGUCUGUAAUGUCCUAGUUUGGAUACAAAAAUGUUCUGGAAGAAAGAGUAGAAAACCUGAUACAGCCACAUCCACUGUUCACCACUUGUCCAUGCAUUCAGCCAUUUUAACGCAGAAGACAGUCAGAUUGUUCAGGCUAAAUUUACCCUUGGUAAAUUCAUGUUGACCAUUCCCAUUCACCAUUUUCUCUUUUGUGUGUAUCCAAAAGUGUUCCAAGAGGAUUCACCCUAGGAUUCUCCUAGAGGCAGAAACAGGACUGACUGACCUGUAGUAGUUAGGGAAUCAAGCAAAUGUACCCAUGUAUCAGUGACAAACCAACAGAUGUAAAAGUAAAUACUUUCAGUAUUAUAUAUUAAUGUCACUAAUGAAAUGGUAUUUCAGGAAGGGAGCAGUAUAUUCCUAGUGCAUACUGACAUUUCCUGAUGAAAAUACACAAGUAUAGAAUUUACUGAGUGAAAGGUGCUUUUCAUUAUACUACAUUCCCAUC
This is a long non-coding RNA of Gallus gallus (chicken), 2284 nucleotides long. The record is from Ensembl. Lineage: Eukaryota; Metazoa; Chordata; Aves; Galliformes; Phasianidae.